CACAGGGUAUUCAACUAAGAUUAAUGACCAUAAGAUAUACUUGAAAGUUCUGGCUGUCAAUGCUUGCUUUCUAAUAAAUGUCUGAUACAGAAAGAUUUUUGGAUUCAUGCAGGCGGUUUCACAUUGCCAGUCAAAAGUGGCGAGACCUACAUGCUACGGUUGAUCAAUGCAGCACUCAAUGAAGAGCUCUUCUUCAAAAUUGCAGGGCAUAAGCUUACAGUCGUCGAAGUUGAUGCCACCUAUGUUAAACCAUUCAAAACCGAUACAGUCCUAAUUGCCCCAGGCCAGACCACCAAUGUCCUUGUCACAACUAACAAAAAUACAGGCAAGUACUUGGUUGCUGCCUCCCCGUUCAUGGAUUCUCCAAUUGCUGUGGACAACAUGACAGCAACAGCCACUUUGCAGUAUUCAGGAGCACUUGCUAACUCCCCUACAACUCUCACCACCCCACCUCCAAAGAAUGCCACUGCAGUUGCCAACCAAUUUACCAACUCUCUACGCAGCCUUAACUCAAGAAGAUUUCCUGCCAAAGUCCCAUUGAACGUUGAUCACAACCUUUUCUUUACAGUUAGUCUAGGAGUUAACCCAUGUCCAAGUUGCAAAGCUGGUAAUGGCAGCAGGGUUGUUGCUAGUAUUAACAAUGUCACAUUUGUGAUGCCAACCACUGCCCUGCUCCAAGCACAUUUCCUCAACAUCAGCGGUGUGUUCACCACUGAUUUUCCUGCAAAGCCACCGCAUGUUUUCAAUUACACUGGCACUCCACCUACAAAUUUACAGACCAAAAGUGGAACUAAAGUUUAUAGGCUGAGCUACAACUCGACAGUCCAACUUGUUAUGCAAGAUACUGGUAUCAUAUCCCCUGAGAACCAUCCGAUCCAUUUACAUGGAUUCAAUUUCUUUGCUGUCGGUAGGGGAGUAGGGAAUUACAAUCCGAAGACUGAUACUAAGAAGUUUAACCUCGUUGAUCCUGUUGAACGGAACACAAUUGGAGUACCUUCUGGUGGAUGGGUGGCGAUAAGAUUUCGCGCCGAUAAUCCAGGUAAUUGCUGUUUAAUGUUUUCGUUUGGAAGUACAGAGCUUGGCAUUUUCAAGUUUGUUUAAUUUCAUGUUCUCUGAUUUUCUUCUUCGCAUCUCUUGUAGGAGUUUGGUUCAUGCAUUGCCAUCUAGAGGUGCACACUACAUGGGGACUUAAGAUGGCGUUCUUGGUAGACAAUGGCAAAGGCCCUAAGGAGUCUCUUCUACCGCCGCCAAGCGACCUUCCAAAAUGUUGAAGUCAGAUCAAGAACUAUACUAACUCGAGGGAUAGAAGCCAUACUUUAUCAGGAAACUUGGUCCCGGUAGAAACAUUCUAUGCUCGAAGAGAGCAGAGUGUGUAUAUAUAUAAUUUGAGGGUUAAAGAUCCGAUUUGUUUCUUGAGUGAAUUGGAAGAUUUGCUCAAGCGAGUUUGCAUAAAAUUUUGUGAGCGGUAGAGCUGUUUCAAUUCAAAUGUUAUUUUUUCUUGAAUAAAUAUAUAUAUAUUGAAGAUUUGAUCACAAAGCCAUUCAUGAUCAAUAAAACUUGUAUGCUUCUAAAUAUGUUCAUGGGUCGGGUUGGAUAAGACCUAGAUCAGGCCCGAUUAACUUUUCUAAGUUAUAUUGACCCGUAUCUGGCCAGAAUCGAUCCUUGGGCUUUCAAGCCCUUUAAGAAAUAAAAAAUAAAAAAUAAAAGCAAAAUAAUAUGUAGCAAUAGAAAUUAGUUUUUUUUUUUUUGAGACAAGUAUCGAAAUUGUUAAAGAAUAAGGAAGCAAAGUUUUAGCACGGCGAAACAAAUAUUUAUAUAACGCGGCAAUGAUUAGAAAUUCUAGCAAUGAUUGCAUUUCUUAGACCCAAAAGCUGUAUGUUUUUAAAUAUUUUUGAUAUGGUAAAGUAAGAAAUUAUUAUUUUAAUAUAUUUUAAAAUAAAAAAUUUUAAAAAUUAAUUUUUAUCACAAUCUCAAAUAAACAUUAGGUGAAAAGAAAAAAGAAAAGGAACAAUACAAACUGAAGCAUGGAGUUAGAACUUAAUUUUGUAGUUUAUUAAAAUAAAUAAAUUAAUUAUGGUUUUAACUAUAUAUUUACUCUUUUUGUUUUUAAAACCAUUUAUAACUUAAUAUUUUUCAUCCCUUUUAUGUUGUUUUUUCAAUAUAUUUAUUUUUUGUUUUAAAAACAGAAAAAAGAAAAGAAAAAGAAAAAGAUAAAUUAAGAAGAUUGAUAAAAUAGAAGAUACCUUUAUUUUUUUUCCCAAUAUGCUACGGCUAAAACUGGUUAGGAAAAUAGUGUAGCUGCAGAUGCAUUGGCACUGUUCACUAGAACAUUCUAAUGACAUCUUUGUCUUUUCCAUAAAAAAAACUUAUAACUAGUUUCUGGGAACAUGAAAGUCUUUUGACGAUGUGCAUUAGUCAUUCUUAAAUUAAUUAGGGGCAAUUAUGUCUUUUUCAAUUUAAAAAUACAGUGAAAAGACCGAAAUGCCCUUAAAAGCAAAAAAUUCAAUGCUAGCAUCAAGGGACAAUUUGAUACUUUUAAAAUUGUUUUUUUCUAUUAUUAUCAUGUAAGAUGAGGAGCAAUUUUGUAUUUGGAUAAAUAUAUAUAAAAAAUAAAAAACAUAGUGAAACGAUCAAAAUGUCCUUGGAAGUCUAAACAUAAAAAAAAAUGAUCUCAAGGGACUUUUUCCAUAGGUUUUUAUCUCAAAGCCUUCCCAAACUUCGAUUGAUAUUCAAUUUUAACUCUAUAAAAAAUAAGGUCUGUGAAAUCUUUUGGUAAAAUAUCAAUUCGAUCCAACGUUCAAAUUAAAAAUUAUGCUUGUUAGCGUAAAACUGUACAUUAGAAAAAAAAAGCCCAAAAUUACCUCUCAUUACCCAACCCUUUUAUGGACCACAUUAAUCAAGGCUUAGUCACCUUUUCUUGAAAAUUUAAAACUUGACUUGACCCAAAUAUCUUGAAUAAGCCCAUCGAAUAACUCUUCAAUCUUUUUGGUCGAAUGAUACAAGGUCAAAAUCUUUGGCUUCUCCUUCCUCAUUCUCAUCAACCAUCUCAUCAAUGAUCCUACACCUCACCAAACAUCACAUUCAUCCUCUCAAAUUGUUGUUCUAUAACCAGCAAUUUAAGAUGUCCUCCUUCUUCUUUUCAGAGGAUGCCCCGUCUUUGGAAGACAUUAUCAAAUUUAAAAUUUUACGUUAGUAAUAAAAAACAAUUAUCAUCACUCACUCCCUUAUGUGUUUACACUCUAUAAUCAACGGGUUGUAGUUGUUCAUCCAAUAGCUUCGAUUCUUUGGUUCAAGGUAAACACUAGAUCGAGUUUUUAUCUUCAAUUCGAUUUUAUCUUUUUUGGGUUGUAUUUUUUCUUGUUUAUGAGUUCACAUCACAAGAAACUAUUUUAUAAUAAACCUAAACCUAGGUUCGAGCCACAUCGUGUCGACACGUGCUUGCGUAUGGGUUUAAGUUCAAAACCCACUUUGCUUAUGUCAUUUUCCCUCUAAAAAAUUGGGUUCCUUUUGGUCUCAAUAUUAACUCUUCGCCUUCUCAUUAAAUAAGUCACAAGAAAAACUUAUUUCUUUCCAACACGGAUAGAGUUUUUAAAGGGUUUGGGUUUCACUAAAACAUGUCAAUCAAAGGUUCUUUGAGAAUAAUUUUUUAUUCAUCCAUAAUUUAAUUAAAUCAUAUUAGUGUUCUAUGUUAAAGAGCUUAUAUUGGAUAUUAAAUUCCAACAAAGUUUUAACCCCAAAAAUGAAUGGAUCCACUUUUAAUUUGGCCUCAAAUAUUUCCAUUAACCAUGUUCCAAGACAAAAUUUGCAACAAAAUGUCCCAUUAACAAAGCAGAAUGUUUUUGUUACAAUACUAAUGUCAGUAAAAAUGAGUAGAGAAUGUUGAUGAAUUUAGAUAUAACUAGUUUAUUUUCUACACUAUCAUUGUGGGUUGGAUGAAAUUUUUUUGGAACAUAAGAAAAUAAUAUAUAAACCAUAUGAAACUUUUCGGCAUUGUCAUUAAAUUAGGUGCAACAGUUCAAACUUGACAACUCUUAACAUGACUAUUUGUUUAGCUCAAGUUUUUAAUUAAAUCAUAUGAAAGUUGCUCUUAUGUGACAUUGUUUACUGGGUAGGUGCAAAGAAAAAAAAACACGUUAGGUUCAACCUAAUCAACCCACCAAACUCGUGAUCGAAGUUAUGAGCUUCACUAGGUCAAAUUAAUUUUUUUUAUUUUAUUAUAUAAUAAAAAUAUAAAUUUUUAUUUACCAUCAACACAAUACUAAAAAAUAAAAUUAAAAAGAAAAACUUCACAUUAAAAGAUAAUAUUGAAAGAAAAAAAUAAAAUAUGUAAAAAAUACUCUAAUGGUGUGCUAUGAUAAAGCCAAACACGCGGGCACGUGGGCUUGGGGAAGGCCUGCAGCUUGGGCUGUGCACAUCUUUUUUAUUUGCAAAAAAGAAGAAAAGCAACCUCUCAUCUAUCUUUUGAAAGAAUAUACUGCUAUCUGUAGCUAGGAAUCAAACCCACAACCUCCACACCUACCUCCUUGCUUACCACCACUUGAACUAUGACAAGAACUUAACCAAGCUAUUAAAAUAUAUCAACUUGAUUUUAAUAACUAAGCCAAAUCCAGCCAUUUAGUUGUUCCUUUUUACUAUUAGAUUUGAAAUCAAUGGUUUUAACAAACCAGCAUUUUAGACAUUCCCAAAACAGACGGAUGCGCAAAAGCAUUGAAUUGAAUUGAAAAUAUUGAUCGGAUCAUGCAUGGAUUUUCAUAUAAAAAAAACACAUCACCGUGGAAAGGACCUGGUGAGCACUCAUCAUUAGAAUUCAGAGCCGCAAGUAAUCCUGGGACAUCCUUUACAAGGACUACAAGUAAUGCCUUGAAAAAGAGAGUUCGGCCUACCAAACUUAACCCGUAUUGUUCUUAAAUCUACGAAGAGCACCAGGUCCUAAAAAAGAGUAGCAAAAUAAAAUAAAUUCUAAGGCAACUAAUUGAAAAUGGUGAUUAAUUAAGGUGACUUGUCCGUUGCUGAUCAAUUGACCACAUGUUCUUUUACUCUAUUUUUAUAUUGUUGUGAACCUACUUGAGUAAAUAGCAGGACAAGAGAAUGUUUUCAGGAUAAAUAUGUAGGAAGUGGGUGCCAAAUUUAAUCAUUUAAUUUACAGAUUUCCUAUGCCACCAAAUUAUCAAACUUCCAUGCAAGGUUCCUAAUUAAUAAAUGCAAAAAUUAGAAAACACAUGGUCUGCUUCCCAAACUAUGUUGAUCCAUGAACAAGACGACUUUAUGUAGCAUGUAAGAAACCUAGUAAGAUUAGGCUUCUAAUCCUUGUUUUCCAAGAAUGAACUCACCCACCUAACCUAACUGUGAAAAACGACAUGGCAGCAAUUCCCAUAUUCCCUUUAUAAGGUUGAGGUAGCCAGUCACGGAUGAAGACAACAAGCUUGAAAGCAAGAAGGAAACCAACAGCAACAGAGAGAUUGCCAAAGAAAGGUCUCGAAGUCAGCAAAUAUGGAGUACUCCAAUUUGCUCAUCCGUUUUAUGCUUCUUGCUGUCUGCCUCCUCCCCGCUUUGGUCGAGUGCAGGAUUCGGCAUUACAAGUUCAAUGUAAGUUAAAUGCUGUAGCAAGCUUCCAUGUGACGAAAGCCUGAACUGCUUGCGCUUUAGGUCAUUAGUCUCAUUCAUGUGACGAAAAUCUUCUUUGAAAUGCAUUUCGUUAUUAGAAGAUAGCCAUGUUUUGCACGAUGCAUUGCGCAUCAUGACACUGCCUUGGCUUAAAAUCAUGCAACUUUACCCAUAUCUUUUUCCUGACUAGUCCAUGAUUCAAAUGGAAAUCAUAGAGUUUCCACCUACCUAUAGCCACUAUUUUAAAUACCAGAAAAGUUUAUUCUCAUGCUUACUUUAUGGUUAAAUAAUUGCAGCAGAAAGCUCUCACUAUAUAUAUAUAUAUAUAUAUAUAUAUAUAUAUAUAUAUAUAUAUGUUCAAGAAACCAUUAAAAAAAUAUUAAAUAGGAAAAGGGUGGUAAGAUCUCAAAGCACUGUAGUGACAUAAUUUGUCACAACAAAUUAAACAAUAUGGACAGUUUAGCAUUUGAUGUAGAAAUGAGCUUAAAUAUUUCACCUAUCAUUUCAACAGGUGGUGAUGAAAAAUACUACCAGACUAUGCUCUAGGAAGCCGAUUGUUACCGUCAAUGGCCGCUUCCCAGGACCCACUCUGUAUGCCAGAGAACACGAUACAGUUCUUGUAAAAGUUGUUAACCAUGUCAAAUAUAAUGUUUCUAUUCACUGGUAAGCUAACGAAACAAACCCUGUAUAACAGUUAUACUUCAAUUCAUCAUGAAUGAUACCGAUGCGGAUUUUUCUUGGUAUUCUGCAGGCAUGGCAUUAGGCAACUAAGAACGGGCUGGGCUGAUGGACCAGCAUACAUUACACAAUGCCCCAUUCAGCCAGGGCAAAGCUAUGUCUACAAUUUCACAAUCACUGGUCAGAGGGGCACACUUCUUUGGCACGCACAUAUUCUCUGGCUAAGGGCCACAGUUCAUGGUGCCCUGGUUGUCUUGCCUAAACGCGGCAUCCCCUACCCAUUCCCAGCUCCUCAUAAAGAAGUGCUUGUUGUAUUAGGUGAGCAGGAUACAUAAUAGCUAUUUCUUUCACUAAAACUUUUGAAAUUCUGUGCAUUCCGCCAUAAUUCAAAUCUUUAAGGUUCAUGGUUAUUAAAUAUGUAACCUGAGACUAAGGUGGUGACGUGAAAUUGCAGCUGAAUGGUGGAAAUCAGAUACUGAAGCUGUGAUCAACGAGGCUCUUAAAUCUGGAUUAGCUCCAAAUGUCUCUGAUGCUCACACAAUUAACGGCCAUCCAGGAGCUGUCUCAGCUUGUUCUUCACAGGGUAUUCAACUAAGAUUAAUGACCAUAAGAUAUACCUGUGAGUUCUGGCUCUCAAUGCUUGCUUUCUAAUAGAGGUCUGAUACAGAAAGAUUUUUGGAUUCAUGCAGGCGGUUUCACAUUGCCAGUCAAAAGUGGCGAGACCUACAUGCUACGGUUGAUCAAUGCUGCACUCAAUGAAGAGCUCUUCUUCAAAAUUGCAGGGCAUAAGCUUACAGUCGUCGAAGUGGAUGCCACCUAUGUUAAACCAUUCAAAACCGAUACAGUCCUAAUUGCCCCAGGCCAGACCACCAAUGUCCUUGUCACAGCUAACAAAAAUACAGGCAAGUACUUGGUUGCUGCCUCCCCGUUCAUGGAUGCUCCAAUUGCUGUGGACAACAUGACAGCAACAGCCACUUUGCAGUAUUCAGGAGCACUUGCUAACUCCCCUACAACUCUCACCACCCCACCUCCAAAGAAUGCCACUGCAGUUGCCAACCAAUUUACCAACUCUCUACGCAGCCUUAACUCAAGAAGAUUUCCUGCCAAAGUCCCAUUGAACGUUGAUCACAACCUUUUCUUUACAGUUGGUCUAGGAGUUAACCCAUGUCCAAGUUGCAAAGCUGGUAAUGGCAGCAGGGUUGUUGCUAGUAUUAACAAUGUCACAUUUGUGAUGCCAACCACUGCCCUGCUCCAAGCACAUUUCCUCAACAUCAGCGGUGUGUUCACCACUGAUUUUCCUGCAAAGCCACCGCAUGUUUUCAAUUACACUGGCACUCCACCUACAAAUUUACAGACCAAAAGUGGAACUAAAGUUUAUAGGCUGAGCUACAACUCGACAGUCCAACUUGUUAUGCAAGAUACUGGGAUCAUAUCCCCUGAGAACCAUCCGAUCCAUUUACAUGGAUUCAAUUUCUUUGCUGUCGGUAGGGGAGUAGGGAAUUACAAUCCGAAGACUGAUACUAAGAAAUUUAACCUCGUUGAUCCUGUUGAACGGAACACAAUUGGAGUACCUUCUGGUGGAUGGGUGGCGAUAAGAUUUCGCGCCGAUAAUCCAGGUAAUUGCUGUUUAAUGUUUUCGUUUGGAAGUACAGAGCUUGGCAUUUUCAAGUUUGUUUAAUUUCAUGUUCUCUGAUUUUCUUCUUCGCAUCUCUUGUAGGAGUUUGGUUCAUGCAUUGCCAUCUAGAGGUGCACACUACAUGGGGACUUAAGAUGGCGUUCUUGGUAGACAAUGGCAAAGGCCCUAAGGAGUCUCUUCUACCGCCGCCAAGCGACCUUCCAAAAUGUUGAAGUCAGAUCAAGAACUAUACUAACUCGAGGGAUAGAAGCCAUACUUUAUCAGGAAACUUGGUCCCGGUAGAAACAUUCUAUGAUCGAAGAGAGCAGAGUGUGUAUAUAUAUAAUUUGAGGGUUUAAGAUCCGAUUUGUUUCUUGAGUGAAUUGGAAGAUUUGCUCAAGCGAGUUUUAAUAAAAUUUUGUGAGCGGUAGAGCUGUUUCAAUUCAAAUGUUAUUUUUUCUUGAAUAAAUAUAUCUAUUGAAGAUUUGAUCACGAAGCCAUUCAUGAUCAAUAAAACUUGUAUGUUCUAUAUAUGUUCAUGUGUCGGGUCGGAUUAGACCUAGAUCAGGCCCGAUUAAUUUUUCUAAGCUAUAUUGACCCGAGUCUAGUCAGAAUCGAUACUUGGGCUUUCAAGCCCUUCAAGAAAUUAAAAAAUGAAAGCAAAUAAUAAAUGCUAGAGUUCGAUUAGAACUAGUCUUUUCAUUUUUCAACAAGUAUCAAAAUUGUUAACGACCAAGGAAGCAAAGUUUUAGCACCGUGAAACAAAUAUUUAUAUAUAUAUCACGGCAAUGAUUAGAAAUUCUAGCAAUGAUUGCAUUUCUUAGACCCAAAAGCUGUAUGUUUUUAAAUAUUUUUUAUAGGGUAAUGUUAAAAAUUAUUAUUUUGAUAUAUUUUAAAAUAAAAAAUAAUUUUAAAAAUAAUUUUUAUCAUAUUCUUAAAUAAAUAUUAGGUGAAAAGAGAAAGAAAGGGAAAAAUAUAAACUGAAGCAUGGAGUGACUAGUAACUUAAUUUUGUAGUUUAUUAAAAUAAAUUAAUUAAUUAUAGUUGUAACUAUAUAUUUACUCUCUUUGUUUUUAAAACCAUUUAUAACUUAAUAUUUUUCAUCUAUUAUAUGUUGUUCUUCUAAUUUAUUUAUUUUUUGUUUUAAAAACAAAAAAAAAAGAAAAAGAUAAAAUAAGAAGAUUGAUAAAAUAAAAGAUACCUUCAUUUUUUUUUCAAAUAUGCUAUAGCUAAAAUUGGUUAGGAAAAUAGUGUAGCUGCAGAUAUAUUGACACUGUUCACUAGAACAUUCUAAUGAAGUGAACGUUCUAAUGACGUCUUUGUCUUUUCCAUCAAAAAACUUAUAACUAGUUACUUGGGACAUCAAAGUCUUUUGAUGAGGCACAUUAGUCAUUUCUAAAUUGACUAGGGGAAAUUAUGUCUUUUCCAAUUUAAAAAAUACAGUGAAAUUUCUAAAAUGCUCUUUUAAAAGCAAAAAUCUCAAUAUUGGCAUCAAAGGACAAUUUGAUACUUUUAAAAUGGUUUUUUUUUGUUAUUAUCAUGUAAGAUGAGAAUCAAAAAUAUAUUGAAACGAUUGAAAUGUCCAUAGAAGUCAAAAAAUAAAAUAAAAAUGAUCUUAAAGGGCUUUUUCCAAAGGUUUUUUCAUUAUUAACAUGUAAAAUCAUGGGUGAUUUGAUAUUUGAAUAAAACAAAAUUCAGGCAUAUGUACGACACCAUGAGGCACGCGGGAGGCGCCAACACACUAUGGAUGACGUGUGUGACGCCUUCCAUUGUCCAAAAAUACCCUUUCAUCAUGUCAUUGGAAGCACUGUCGUGUUUUGUUUCCUGUUGGUAUGAUACAUGUCUUUGGUGGUGAUUCAGUUUGUCGUCGAAAGGACUUUCUAUUCUAUUCUUUUUCCUUCUCUUCUCUCUUCUCCCUUAAAAAAUAUAGUUUGCCCUUUUUGUUCUUGAUGUUUCAACUUCAAUAAUUAUUCUUUUGAUUUUUAAUUUUUGUUCCGGGCUCUUUUAUAGAAAUCUUAUUUGUUUUUAAUUUCAUUCUUCAAUCACAAUUCACUAAAUAUCAUAUUCUUUAAUUUGGUCAUUCUUUUGAUUUAUAAUUUUUGUGUAGCCUUAACAAAUAAGGUGUACCUUGCAAAAAUUGGAGCUCUGUUACCGCCUCUCGUGUGUCCAUGUAAAAUAAAGAAACCACUAACUUUUGAAUCCUAAUGAAACAUGGGAACCUUGCCAAUUAAUAACUCUAAUUAUGUCGCCUCAAAUGUCCUUGUAGAAUAAGGAAGUCACUUUAUAGGAAAUCUAUAAGUUAGAAGGAAAGAUAAUCCUAAACCAACUAGGAAACUAAUGCAAUUCCCGCAUAGUACUUUCUAGUUUUUAUCUCAAGGUCUUUCUAAACUCCGAUUGAUAUUUAAUUUUAACCCUAUAAAAAUAAGAUCUGUGAAAUCUUUUGGUAAAAUAUCAAUUCGAUCCAACAUUCAGAUUGAAAAUUAUGAUUGUUAGGGUAAAACUGUAUAUUAGAAGAAAACAAAUGCCCAAAAUUACCUCUCCUUACCCAACCCUUUCAUGGACCACAUUGAUCAAAGCUUAGUCACCCCUUCUUGAAAUUUUGAAACUUGACUUGACCAAAAUAUCUUAAAUAAGCCCAUCGAAUACCUUUUCAAUCUUCUUGGUCGAAUAAUGCAAGGUCAAAAUCUUUGGCUUCUCCUUCCUCAUUCUCAUCAACCAUCUCAUCGAUGAUCCUACACCUCACCAAACAUCACAUUCAUCCUCUCAAAUUGUUGUUCUAUACCCCUAACAAAAAUAAGAUGUUCUCCUCCUCCUUUUUAGAGGAUGCUCCGUCUUUGGAAGACAUUGUCAAAUUUAAAAUUUUACGUUAGCAAUAAAAAACAAUUAUCAUCAUUUACUCCCUUACGUGUUUACACUCAAUAAUCAACGGGUUAUGGUCGUUCAUCCAUUAGCUUCGAUUCUUUGGUUCAAGGUAUUCACUAUAUCAAGUUUUUAUCUUCAAUUCGAUUUGUCUUUUUGGGUUGUAUUUUUUCUUGUUUAUGAGUUCACAUCACAAGAAACUAUUUUAUAAUAAACUCAAACCUAGGCUCAAGCCACAUCAUGUCAACGCGUACUUGCAUAUUCAAAACCCACUUUACUUAUGUCAUUUUCCCUCUAAAAAAUUAGGUUCCUAUUGGUCUCAAUAUUAACUCUUCACCUUCUCACUAAAUAAGCCACAAGAAAAACUUAUUUCUUUCUAAUGUGGGAUAGAGUUUUUAGAAGGCUUUGGGUUUCACUAAAAUAUAUGAAUCAAUGGUUAUUUGAGAAUAAUUUUUUAUUCAUCCACAAUUUAUUUAAAUCAUAUUAGUAGUAUAUGUUAAAGAGCUUAUGUUGGAGAUUAAAUUCCAACACAGUUUUAACCCCAAAAGUGAAUGGAUCCACUUUUAAUUUGGCAUCAAAUAUUUUCAUUAACCAUGUUCCUAGACAAAAUUUGCAACAAAAUAUCCUCCUAACAAAGCAGAAUGUUUUUGUUACAAUACUAAUGUCAGUAAAAAUGAGUAACGGAUGUUGAUGUAUUUAGAUAUAACUAGUUUAUUUCCUACACUAUCGUUGUGGGUUGUAUGAAAUUUUUUUGGAAUAUAAGAAAACAAUAUAUAAAUUAUAUAAAACUUUUUUGCAUUGUUAUUAAACUAAGUACAAUGGUUCAAACUUGACAACUCUCAACAUGACUAUUUGUUUAGCCCAAGUUUUAAAUUAAAUCAUAUGAAAGUUGCCGUUAUGUGACCUUGUUUAUUGGGUAAGUGCAAAGAAAAACAAGGAGCAUGUCAGGUUAAACAUAAUCAACCCGCCAAAACCGUGACAGAAGUUAUAGGCUCUACUAGGUCAAAUUAUUUUUUAUUUUAUUUUAUUAUAUAAUAAAAAAAUAUAAAAUUUGAUUUACCAUUAACCCAAUAACCCAAUACUACAAAAUAAAAUUAAAGAAAAACCUCACAUUAAAGGAAUAAAAAAUAAAUAAAUAUGACAAAAAAUACUCAAAUGGUGUGUUACGAUAAAGCCAAACACGUGGGCUUGGGGAGGCCCACAGACGUGGCCCGUACACCUUUUUUUUAUUUGAAAAAAAAAAUCAACAUUCUCAUUUUUUAUUUGAAAAAAUAUAUUGCUGUCAGUAGGAAUCGAACCCAACACCUAUCUGCUUACUUACAACCACUUGAAUUAUGAAACGAACUACGAACUUGUUAACUAAGCUGUUAAAAUAUAUCAACUUAAUUUGAAUAAUUAAGUCAAAUCAAGUCAUUUAGUUGUUUCCUUUUUACUAUUAGAUUUGAAAUCAAUGGUUUUAACAAACCAGCAUUUUAGACUUUCCCAAAACAGACGUAUGCGCAAAAACAUUGAAUUGAAUUGAAAAUAUUGAUCUGAUCAUGCAUGGAUUUUCAUAUAAAAAAAACACAUCACCGUGGAAAGGACCUGGUGAGCAUUCAUCAGUAGAAUUCAGAGUCGCAAGUAAUCCUGGGACAUCCUUUACAAGGACUACAAGUAAUGCCUUGAAAAAGAGAGUUCGGCCUACCCAACUUGUAACCCGUAUUGUUCUUACAUCUACGAAGAGCACUACGUCGUAAAAAAGAGUAACAAAAUAAAAUAAACUCUAAGGCAACCAAAUGAAAAUGGUGAUUAAUUAAGGUGACUUGUCUGUUGCUGAUCAAUUGACCUCAUGUUCUUUUACUCUAUUUUUAUAUUGUUGUGAACCUACUUGAGUAAAAAGGACGACAAGAGAAUGUUUUCAGGAUUAAUAUGUAGGAAGUGGGUGCCAAAUUUAAUCAUUUAAUUUACAGAUAUCCUAUGCCAAGAAAUUAUCAAACUUCCAUGCAAGGUUCCUAAUUAAUAAAUGCAAAAAUUAGAAAACACAUGUUCUGCUUCCCAAUCUAUGUUGAUCCAUGAACAAGAAGACUUUAUGUAGCAUGUAAGAAACCUAGUAAGAUUAGGCUUCUAAUCCUUGUUUUCCAAGAAUGAACUCACCCACCUAACCUAACUGUGAAAAACGACAUGGCAGCAAUUCCCAUAUUCCCUUUAUAAGGUUGAGGUAGCCAGUCACGGAUGAAGACAACAAGCUUGAAAGCAAGAAGGAAACCAACAGCAACAGAGAGAUUGCCAAAGAAAGGUCUCGAAGUCAGCAAAUAUGGAGUACUCCAAUUGGCUCAUCCGUUUUAUGCUUCUUGCUGUCUGCCUCCUCCCUGCUUUGGUCGAGUGCAGGAUUCGGCAUUACAAGUUCAAUGUAAGUUAAAUGCUGUAGCAAGCUUCCAUGUGACGAAAGCGUGAACUGCUUGAGCUUUCGGUCAUUAGUCUCAUUCAUGUGACGAAAAUCUUCUUUGAAAUGCAUUUCGUUAUUAGAAGAUAGCCAUGUUUUGCACGAUGCAUUGCACAUCAUGACACUGCCUUGGCUUAAAAUCAUGCAACUUUACCCAUAUCUUUUUCCUGACUAGUCCAUGAUUCAAAUGGAAAUCAUAGAGUUUCCACCUACCUAUAGCCACUAUUUUAAAUACCAGAAAAGUUUAUUCUCAUGCUUACUUUAUGGUUAAAUAAUUGCAGCAGAAAGCUCUCACUAUAUAUAUAUAUAUAUAUAUAUAUAUAUGUUCAAGAAACCAUUAAAAAAAUAUUAAAUAGGAAAAGGGUGGUAAGAUCUCAAAGCACUGUAGUGACAUAAUUUGUCACAACAAAUUAAACAAUAUGGACAGUUUAGCAGUCAUGACCUUUGAAUUAUAUACAUUUGAUGUAGAAAUGAGCUUAAAUAUUUCACCUAUCAUUUCAACAGGUGGUGAUGAAAAAUACUACCAGACUAUGCUCUAGGAAGCCGAUUGUUACCGUCAAUGGCCGCUUCCCAGGACCCACUCUGUAUGCCAGAGAACACGAUACAGUUCUUGUAAAAGUUGUUAACCAUGUCAAAUAUAAUGUUUCUAUUCACUGGUAAGCUAACGAAACAAACCCCGUAUAACAGUUAUACUUCAAUUGAUCAUGAAUGAUACCGAUGCGGAUUUUUCUUGGUAUUCGGCAGGCAUGGCAUUAGGCAACUAAGAACGGGCUGGGCUGAUGGACCAGCAUACAUUACACAAUGCCCCAUUCAGCCAGGGCAAAGCUAUGUCUACAAUUUCACAAUCACUGGUCAGAGGGGCACACUUCUUUGGCACGCACAUAUUCUCUGGCUAAGGGCCACAGUUCAUGGUGCCAUGGUUGUCUUGCCUAAACGCGGCAUCCCCUACCCAUUCCCAGCUCCUCAUAAAGAAGUGGUUGUUGUAUUAGGUGAGCACGAUACAUAAUAGUUAUUUCUUUCACUAAAACUUUUGAAAUUAUGUGCAUUCCGACCAUAAUUCAAUGCUUUAAGGUUCAUGUUUAUUAAAUAUGUAACCUGAGACUAAUGUGGUGACGUGAAAUUGCAGCUGAAUGGUGGAAAUCAGAUACUGAAGCUGUGAUCAACGAGGCUCUUAAAUCUGGAUUAGCUCCAAAUGUCUCUGAUGCUCACACAAUUAACGGCCAUCCAGGAGCUGUCUCAGCUUGUUCUUCACAGGGUAUUCAACUAAGAUUAAUGACCAUAAGAUAUACCUGAGAGUUCUGGCUCUCAAUGCUUGCUUUCUAAUAAAGGUCUGAUACAGAAAGAUUUUUGGAUUCAUGCAGGCGGUUUCACAUUGCCAGUCAAAAGUGGCGAGACCUACAUGCUACGGUUGAUCAAUGCUGCACUCAAUGAAGAGCUCUUCUUCAAAAUUGCAGGGCACAAGCUUACAGUCGUCGAAGUUGAUGCCACCUAUGUUAAACCAUUCAAAACCGAUACAGUCCUAAUUGCCCCAGGCCAGACCACCAAUGUCCUUGUCACAACUAACAAAAAUACAGGCAAGUACUUGGUUGCUGCCUCCCCGUUCAUGGAUGCUCCAAUUGCUGUGGACAACAUGACAGCAACAGCCACUUUGCAGUAUUCAGGAGCACUUGCUAACUCCCCUACAACUCUCACCACCCCACCUCCAAAGAAUGCCACUGCAGUUGCCAACCAAUUUACCAACUCUCUACGCAGCCUUAACUCAAGAAGAUUUCCUGCCAAAGUCCCAUUAAACGUUGAUCACAACCUUUUCUUUACAGUUGGUCUAGGAGUUAACCCAUGUCCAAGUUGCAAAGCUGGUAAUGGCAGCAGGGUUGUUGCUAGUAUUAACAAUGUCACAUUUGUGAUGCCAACCACUGCCCUGCUCCAAGCACAUUUCUUCAACAUCAGCGGUGUGUUCACCACUGAUUUUC
RNAcentral lists this long non-coding RNA (15148 nucleotides) under Populus trichocarpa (black cottonwood). RNAcentral's name for it is "long non-coding RNA (PTRI_LNC001714)". Lineage: Eukaryota; Viridiplantae; Streptophyta; Magnoliopsida; Malpighiales; Salicaceae. The record is from RNAcentral.